RNAcentral lists this ribosomal RNA (254 nucleotides) under uncultured bacterium. Its description in RNAcentral is "partial 16S ribosomal RNA". It matches the Rfam family "Bacterial small subunit ribosomal RNA", at positions 524 to 776 of the family's 1533-position model. The record is from RNAcentral.
UACAGAGACCCCGAGCGUUAUCCGGAUUUAUUGGGCGUAAAGCGUCUGUAGGUGUCCUGCACAAGUCCCCGGUCAAAGCCCACCGCUCAACGGUGGAACUGCCAGGGAAACUAGCAGGAUUGAGGUUGGGAGAGGUAAGCGGAAUUGCUGGUGUAGUAGUAAAAUGCGUUAAUAUCAGCAAGAACACCAAAGGCGAAGGCAGCUUACUGGAACACACCUGACACUGAGAGACGAAAGCGUGGGGAGCGAAUGGG